Long non-coding RNA from Brassica napus (rape), 458 nucleotides. RefSeq lists it as uncharacterized. The transcript is spliced from 2 exons. The record is from RefSeq and is a predicted model, not a curated record. NCBI's taxonomy places the organism in Eukaryota, Viridiplantae, Streptophyta, Magnoliopsida, Brassicales, Brassicaceae.
UUCGCCGCCGUCUCCAGCCGCCGACGUUUCGGAGCUCAUCUCAACCGGUAAGGUGAUGAGAUUGUCGGAGUUGGUAAUCAGAAAAGACUAUUCUUCUCGAUUUCGCUGAGGUUGUUCAUCUCUGAGAGCUUGGGGAUUUAUAGUUUGAGUUUCCAUCGGUUACUUUGGAGAUGAUGAGGUUGAUUGAAUGCUUGAGAGUGAGACGAGUGGGAUGAUACAGACAACACGACGCGCGCGAGAAGGAGGAGGGAACGUGGCCACACCGAUCUACUCUGGACCUAACAGGUGUCGAAAAAAGCCCCAACCUGUUGUGGUGUUGUGGAAGGCUGUGUGCAUCACACAAAUCAAUUUUAUAUAUAAAGAUUUUAUAUCAUAUAUUGUGUAAUAUUAAUAAAUUUAUAUUGUUCAACAUUAUUACGUAACAGUUUGGUUUUAUACAAAUUGUUUUAUUAUCAUAA